CAGCGACUGUCAUCGUUUCAUGUCAAGUUUGGUGUUUGUAAUGUUAUAUUUGCAUCGGUUAACAUCUAGUCACUUUUUACUGUGCUUCUUACAAACCUAAUUCUUUUGACAUGUAAUUAAACGGUUUGCCAGACGUCAGAUGAGGUCCCAGAUGAGAGGCUUCAUUCUGCUGCUUCCGGAGAGGGUCGCCCGGGGAGACACUACAACUUCUCCUUCUUCGGGCUGCCCGUCACCCUGCUUCUGGGACCAGUAGAACACUACGCCUUCUACCACCACCGCCUACCACCAGGAAGGACAAUGACUAUGAUGUGCAAAAGGAAACCGCAAGUUUUAUGUUUAGGCAUGAAUAUUUAAAAGGACUGUUAUUUAAAGGGUCCCCAAAAUAAUUCAUCUUCGGUUAUUUAUGUGUCAUAGUCAUCGUUAUUUUUUAAUUGUUAUUUAUUUAAUUGUUAUUUAUUUAAUUGUUAAUUCAUUCAAGGUUUAUAUUGCAGUUACCAUCCUUAAAUUAUUAGUUAGGCCUAACUUUUUCACAGUUAAGUUACCAUUUGUAAUCUGGAAGGGUAAAUUUUUUGAGAAAAGUGUUAUUUAAAAUUGAUAAAUUCUUUGGAUGGGGAAAUGAUCGUUGUUUGAUGUUAUUUGUAGAUUUUGAAAAUAUAUAGGCUUUUGUUCACAA
Molecule: long non-coding RNA, 673 nt
Organism: Macrosteles quadrilineatus (aster leafhopper)
Lineage: Eukaryota; Metazoa; Arthropoda; Insecta; Hemiptera; Cicadellidae
Exons: 2
Source: RefSeq, a predicted model, not a curated record